Molecule: long non-coding RNA, 981 nt
Filed under: Olea europaea subsp. europaea
Lineage: Eukaryota; Viridiplantae; Streptophyta; Magnoliopsida; Lamiales; Oleaceae
Source: RNAcentral
UUUCUUCCCAGCACAUUGGCACUUCUUCAGUCCCCGAUCCCGUAUGCAAUCGCACACUUGAUCACUCGGCUUCCAAAAACCCUUUCACAAAUCCAAUCGCACUGUCCCACUUGCUGUCAAAUUCCUCAAACACUACGAUGGCGCCUCCUCCUGGACCCUAUUCCGGCACCAGCACCCUCGCUUUAGUAAAUUACAUAUCUCUUCGACGUUUUUUUCCCCAGUAGUAUACGUACAAAGAUAUGCUAAAUUGUAAUGUAUUUCUACGGAUGUCAGGUGGUUCGAGUGUCCGCUUUUUCAUUAGGGCUUAUCUACGGAAACAUGAAACUCAAGAUUAUUAGGGUACUGUAAUUUUAAAUUUUCUGACUGAUCCUUUCGAUUUUAUUUUAUUUUUUAAUUUUUGGUUGCAUUAAAUAGAAAGAAAGAAAUAAGUUUGUGUUGAGCUAUAUUUUGUUCUUAAUUGAUUGGUGGUAUUUCAGUAAUUUUGUUCCACUUUAAGUUUCUUAGGUUAAUUGAUUUUGGGGGUUUAUCUAAGUGGGAAAUGUUGGUUAUAUGUAGAUCAGGUAAUUCAAGCUGAAUUAUUCUGUUUUAAGAUUGGGAUUAUGUUUGCUGUGUUUUUGUUCUGUUUUGUUUGGAUGAAACAAGAUUAAAAGAGCAACGUUGGGAGCUUCAAAGUUGAGAUUUGGGGGAUGGACAAAUUGAAGACAGAAAAUGGAACCAAAGGAUGGCCCUUAGCGUAGGCUGGUGAAAUUGGACUAUGUUACGAUUUUUCUUGGAAUCCAUUAUAAUGAAGGCUAACCAAAUACGUAUUUAGAAUUGCGGGAAAAAGAACAUUUCCAUUUAAUUAUUCGAGGAAGAUCAUUUCAGACUAAUCCCAGAACUUAGAUGGGUAUGCUGUGUUAGGGCCAGAAUAAUGUCUUUGUAAUGCUUGAAGAUCACAGUGCUUUCUGGUCACUGUUUAAUUUUCUCAUUGCAAUUGCAAAU